This 240-nucleotide unclassified non-coding RNA is filed under the name soil metagenome. RNAcentral's name for it is "partial contains 5.8S ribosomal RNA, internal transcribed spacer 2, and large subunit ribosomal RNA". The record is from RNAcentral.
AACUGAUACUACCUGCGGGAACCUGCGGAAGGAUCAUUACCGAGUUAGGGUCUUCUCAGGCCCGACCUCCCAACCCUAUGUUUAUUAAACCUAUGUUGCUUCGGCGGGCCCGUCUCACGACCGCCGGGGGACAGUAAGAUGUCCUCUGGCCCGCGCCCGCCGGUGGCCUAACUUGACAAACUCUGAUCGAAUCGUGUCACUGUCUGAGUACCAUUUUUAAUUAAAGCAAAACUUUCAACA